This 486-nucleotide ribosomal RNA is filed under the name uncultured bacterium. RNAcentral describes it as "partial 16S ribosomal RNA". It matches the Rfam family "Bacterial small subunit ribosomal RNA", at positions 29 to 507 of the family's 1533-position model. The record is from RNAcentral.
AUUGAACGCUGGCGGCAUGCCUUACACAUGCAAGUCGAACGGCAACACGGGUGCGUGCACCUACUGGCGAGUAGCGGACGAGUGAGUCAUCCAUCGGUACACAUCCUGUAGGGGGAAAGCGCCGGGAGCUAGGCGGAUACCUACUGCAUACGAAGCACGAAAGAGAGGGGGGGACCUUCGGUCUUUGCGCUCUCGGGUUGGCCGAUGGCGGAUUAGCUAGUUGGUGGGGUAAAGGCCUACCAAGGCGACGAUCAGUAGCCGGUCUGAGAGGACGACCAGCCACACUGGGACUGAGACACGGCCCAGACUCCUACGGGAGGCAGCAGUGGGGAAUUUUGGACAAUGGGCGAAAGCCUGAUCCAGCAAUGCCGCGUGUGUGAAGAAGGCCUUCGGGUUGUAAAGCACUUUUGGCCGGAAAGAAAUCCUGGGCUCUAAUACAGGCAGGUAAUGACGGUACCGGAAGAAUAAGCACCGGCUAACUACGCG